AGGUGUCUGAAAAAAUGUGUUAAGGCUGCUUAUUUUUUUUCUCUUUUUCUUUUUUCCUUCUCUUCUUUUAAUAUUAGUGGUGUGAUACUUAGGAGGGGCAGAGGGGAGAGAACAGAACAUUUUGUGCUUUCUUCUCACAAGUUGCCUCCCUGUAAUGAAGGACUACUGAAGCUGAUAUCUUUACAAUGGUUUGACAGAGACCUUCAUCACAGUCAUCCAAACAAAAGGAGACAAUGUCCUUUACGAAAUCAAAAGAAAUCCACUGUAAAAGAAAUCCCUCAUAAAAUAUGAAGGGGAAGAAACUUUAAUAAAAGACAUAUCCACGAUAAAACCUUGAAAAUGCUUUA
RNAcentral lists this long non-coding RNA (347 nucleotides) under Anas platyrhynchos platyrhynchos (common mallard). Its description in RNAcentral is "lncRNA (ENSAPLG00000024049.1)". The record is from RNAcentral. Lineage: Eukaryota; Metazoa; Chordata; Aves; Anseriformes; Anatidae.